Molecule: ribosomal RNA, 288 nt
Filed under: Imantodes lentiferus
Lineage: Eukaryota; Metazoa; Chordata; Lepidosauria; Squamata; Dipsadidae
Description: partial 12S ribosomal RNA
Source: RNAcentral
AAAGACUUGACGGUACUUCACAACAACCUAGAGGAGCCUGUCCAAUAACCGAUACUCCACGAUUAACCCAACCCGCCCUAGCCAACCAGUCUAUAUACCGCCGUCGCCAGCUUACCUUGUGAAAGAGACAAAGUAAACAAAACAGACAUCCUCUAAUACGACAGGUCGAGGUGUAACUAAUGAGCGGGCAAAAGAUGGGCUACAUUUUCUAAUAACAGAAAACACGGACAAACUAUGAAACCAGAAACUGAAGAAGGAUUUAGUAGUACGUUAAGAACAAAAUACCUA